Molecule: transfer-messenger RNA, 352 nt
Filed under: Deltaproteobacteria bacterium
Lineage: Bacteria; Pseudomonadati; Myxococcota; Myxococcia
Rfam family: transfer-messenger RNA
About the family: Bacterial tmRNA, also known as 10Sa RNA or SsrA, is named for its dual tRNA and mRNA-like properties. Its role is to liberate the mRNA from a stalled ribosome. To accomplish this part of the tmRNA is used as a reading frame that ends in a translation stop signal.
Source: RNAcentral
GGGGGCGACCUGGGUUCGACGGGGAUAGUUGAGACCACAGUGGCAGGCCGAGCGACCCAGUGUCUCGUUAAUCCAAGGGAUAUAACUGAAAAGCAGACUCUUACGAGUACGCUCUGGCUGCUUAAGCCAGCGUCUUCUUGGGCACAUGGCCCGUGGAUCCUUGAAGGCGUAGCUAAAUGGGCUGGCUGUUAGGGGUUUCAGACUGACUCUGACGGCGAGAAAUUUAGUUUGAUAGCUUUGCGGCAGCCCGUGCGUCGGCGUCCAAGAAGCGAAACUCAAAUGGCGUAAUAAGCCUGUAGAAGCUUUGGGGGAAGAUCUUCGGACGCGGGUUCAAUUCCCGCCGCCUCCACCA